GACGAACGCUGGCGGCGUGCCUAAUACAUGCAAGUCGAGCGAGUCUGCCUUGAAGAUCGGAGUGCUUGCACUCUGUGAAACAAGAUACAGGCUAGCGGCGGACGGGUGAGUAACACGUGGGUAACCUGCCCAAGAGAUCGGGAUAACACCUGGAAACAGAUGCUAAUACCGGAUAACAACAGAUGAUGCCUAUCAACUGUUUAAAAGAUGGUUCUGCUAUCACUCUUGGAUGGACCUGCGGUGCAUUAGCUAGGUGGUAGGGUAACGGCCUACCAAGGCGAUGAUGCAUAGCCGGGUUGAGGGCAUGAACGGCCACAUUGGGACUGGGACACGGCCCAAACUCCUACGGGAGGCAGCAGUAGGGAAUCUUCCACAAUGGACGCAAGUCUGAUGGAGCAACGCCGCGUGAGUGAAGAAGGGUUUCGGCUCGUAAAGCUCUGUUGUUGGUGAAGAAGGACAGGGGUAGUAACUGACCUUUGUUUGACGGUAAUCAAUUAGAAAGUCACGGCUAACUACGUG
This 519-nucleotide ribosomal RNA is filed under the name uncultured bacterium. Its description in RNAcentral is "partial 16S ribosomal RNA". It matches the Rfam family "Bacterial small subunit ribosomal RNA", at positions 28 to 507 of the family's 1533-position model. The record is from RNAcentral.